Ribosomal RNA from Otolemur garnettii (small-eared galago), 112 nucleotides. The record is from Ensembl. NCBI's taxonomy places the organism in Eukaryota, Metazoa, Chordata, Mammalia, Primates, Galagidae.
GUCUACAUCCAUACUACCCUAAACGCGCCUAAUCUCAUCGGAAGCCAAGCAGGGUCGGACCUGGUUAGUACUUGCAUGGGAGACUGCCUGGAAAUGCCAGGUGCUGUAGGCU